GACGUAGGGCGCGAGCGUUGUCCGGAUUUAUUGGGCGUAAAGAGUUCGUAGGCGGCUCGUUGCGUCGGCUGUGAAAACCCGCAGCUCAACUGUGGGCUUGCAGCUGAUACGGGCGGGCUGGGAUUCGGUAGGGGAGACUGGAAUUCCUGGUGUAGCGGUGAAAUGCGCAGAUAUCAGGAGGAACACCGGUGGCGAAGGCAGCUCGCUGGGACGUUACUGACACUGAGGCGCGAAAGCGUGGGGAGCGAACAGG
RNAcentral lists this ribosomal RNA (253 nucleotides) under uncultured bacterium. RNAcentral's name for it is "partial 16S ribosomal RNA". It matches the Rfam family "Bacterial small subunit ribosomal RNA", at positions 524 to 776 of the family's 1533-position model. The record is from RNAcentral.